CUCACCAAAUACUUCAUUGUCCUCUGAAGACUGCUGUGUUAGUCUUGCUGCUUUCGGACUCUCCUUAGCUGCUUCUUCCACCUUGGUUUCAGCAUUCUUGGCUGACUUGUCAGUG
Coturnix japonica (Japanese quail) is the source of this 115-nucleotide non-coding RNA. The record is from RefSeq and is a predicted model, not a curated record. Lineage: Eukaryota; Metazoa; Chordata; Aves; Galliformes; Phasianidae.